RNAcentral lists this ribosomal RNA (403 nucleotides) under uncultured bacterium. RNAcentral's name for it is "partial 16S ribosomal RNA". It matches the Rfam family "Bacterial small subunit ribosomal RNA", at positions 29 to 526 of the family's 1533-position model. The record is from RNAcentral.
AUUGAACGCUGGCGGCAGGCCUAACACAUGCAAGUCGAGCGAGCGGCGGACGGGUGAGUAAUGUCUGGGGACUGCCCGAUAGAGGGGGAUCACUACUGGAAACGGUAGCUAAUACCGCAUACUAUCGGAUAACCCAUAGGGGAUUAGCUAGUAGGUGAGGUAAUGGCUCACCUAGGCGACGAUCCCUACCUGGUCUGAGAGGAUGAUCAGCCACACUGGGACUGAGACACGGACGAGACUCCGACGGAGGCAGCAGUGGGGAAUAGUGCACAAUGGGCGCAAGCCUGAUGCAGCAAUGAAGCGUGUAUGAAGAAGGCCCGAGGGUUGUAAAGGACUUUCAGUCGGGAGGCGUUACCGACAGAAGAAGCACCGGCUAACUCCGUGCCAGCAGCCGCGGUAAUAC